RNAcentral lists this ribosomal RNA (498 nucleotides) under uncultured bacterium. RNAcentral's name for it is "partial 16S ribosomal RNA". It matches the Rfam family "Bacterial small subunit ribosomal RNA", at positions 28 to 523 of the family's 1533-position model. The record is from RNAcentral.
GACGAACGCUGGCGGCGUGCCUAACACAUGCAAGUCGAGCGGAGUCAGUAAGAGGAAGUUUUCGGAUGGAAUCUUAUUGAUUUAGCGGCGGACGGGUGAGUAACGCGUGAGCGACCAACCUUGCACAGGGGGAUAACGGACCGAAAGGUUCACUAAUACCGCAUGAGACCACGGUGUUGCAUGACACAGGGGUCAAAGGAGCAAUCCGGUGCAAGACGGGCUCGCGUCCGAUUAGGUAGUUGGAGGGGUAACGGCCCACCAAGCCUAUGAUCGGUAGCCGACCUGAGAGGGUGAUCGGCCACAUUGGAACUGAGAUACGGUCCAAACUCCUACGGGAGGCAGCAGUGGGGAAUAUUGGGCAAUGGGGGAAACCCUGACCCAGCAACGCCGCGUGAAGGAAGAAGGUUUUCGGAUUGUAAACUUCUGUCCUUGGUGAAGAGAAGAAGACGGUAGCCAAGGAGGAAGCCCCGGCUAACUACGUGCCAGCAGCCGCCGCGG